CACAGAUCCUUGAGACAGGGAAAAAGACACAUUCUAGGAAAGAGGAAAGGAGCUCUGUUCAAAUAAUUUCAUUUGUUUCCUGAGCCUCUUCUGACAGCAGUUUUUUUCCUGAAGUGGUGGGAAAGCAAAGACAACAGCCUAUCUGAGAAGAUUUGCCUCAAGGAAGGACUGAAAUUCCCUAGAGGGCUAAAUGCUGUGUAUCAUUGUACAAGUGGCUUCUCCUUGCAAGAGAAUCUCAAGAGACAGUUUGCAACGACCGGUGGAAGGUGGCUGAUCCAGAUGGGGCAAGAAGCUGGGGCAAGAGGUAGUUUUCUUAAAGGUGGUUUUUACUUAACACGUAAUGUUCCUCAGAAUCAGAGAGCAUAACUGAAAUGCAAGGUGAGUAACAGCGUCUGAUUUUGUGAGUAACAAUGUUAGGUGUUACCUUACAUUGCUUCCAGUCUUUACUAUUAAUAGAAGUGAAAUAAAACUACAAGUGUGUAAACA
Molecule: long non-coding RNA, 486 nt
Filed under: Calidris pugnax (ruff)
Lineage: Eukaryota; Metazoa; Chordata; Aves; Charadriiformes; Scolopacidae
Description: lncRNA (ENSCPUG00000003871.1)
Source: RNAcentral